GGGGGUGUUUUGGCCUCGACAGUAGAUUUUGUCAUGAUUCGCAUAUCGAGUAUCUCUCAUUCUCGUUAAAAAUUGAGGGAAAAUAUAAGUGCCAACUUAUAUCAAAAAGCAAAAUUAGCGGUUACCGAUUUAUUUGGUAGCUACAGUUUUGCUCCGGCAGUGGCCUAAAGGCCGUCAAUACCGCUAGUCGGAACUGUCCAUCGCUUUUAGUCGCGCUCGGCAACUAUUAGGCGGUGUCACUCACCGAGCUAGGACAAUCCGGCGCCAACCCUGAUUGCCCAAAAUAUUAGUUGGCUAACUAACUUGGAUUUUGUUCUUUACUAACCAAGCUGGCGAAAAAUAACAAAAGAACUAAAUAUGUAGACGGUUGCGUCAAAAUCAUCUGGACGCGGGUUCAACUCCCGCCACCUCCACCA
RNAcentral lists this transfer-messenger RNA (416 nucleotides) under Patescibacteria group. RNAcentral describes it as "SCQK01 sp004321885 X1 Standard tmRNA". It matches the Rfam family "transfer-messenger RNA". Rfam says of the family: Bacterial tmRNA, also known as 10Sa RNA or SsrA, is named for its dual tRNA and mRNA-like properties. The record is from RNAcentral. RNAcentral also lists the same sequence under 1 other name.